Molecule: ribosomal RNA, 711 nt
Filed under: Rhodococcus sp. MBRL 46
Lineage: Bacteria; Bacillati; Actinomycetota; Actinomycetes; Mycobacteriales; Nocardiaceae
Description: bacterial SSU rRNA
Rfam family: Bacterial small subunit ribosomal RNA
Source: RNAcentral
CCUUUCGGGGGUACACGAGCGGCGAACGGGUGAGUAACACGUGGGUGAUCUGCCCUGCACUUCGGGAUAAGCCUGGGAAACUGGGUCUAAUACCGGAUAUGACCAAAGGCUGCAUGGUUUUUGGUGGAAAGGUUUACUGGUGCAGGAUGGGCCCGCGGCCUAUCAGCUUGUUGGUGGGGUAAUGGCCUACCAAGGCGACGACGGGUAGCCGACCUGAGAGGGUGACCGGCCACACUGGGACUGAUACACGGCCCAGACUCCUACGGGAGGCAGCAGUGGGGAAUAUUGCACAAUGGGCGAAAGCCUGAUGCAACGACGCCGCGUGAGGGAUGACGGCCUUCGGGUUGUAAACCUCUUUCAGCAGGGACGAAGCGCAAGUGACGGUACCUGCAGAAGAAGCACCGGCCAACUACGUGCCAGCAGCCGCGGUAAUACGUAGGGUGCGAGCGUUGUCCGGAAUUACUGGGCGUAAAGAGCUCGUAUGCGGUUUGUCGCGUCGUCUGUGAAAACCAGCAGCUCAACUGCUGGCUUGCAGGCGAUACGGGCAGACUUGAGUACUGCAGGGGAGACUGGAAUUCCUGGUGUAGCGGUGAAAUGCGCAAAUAUCAGGAGGAACACCGGUGGCGAAUGCGGGUCUCUGGGCAGUAACUGACGCUGAGGAGCGAAAGCGUGUUUAGCGAACAGGAUUACAUACCCUGGAAGUCCACGCCG